UGGGGAAUAUUGCACAAUGGGCGCAAGCCUGAUGCAGCCAUGCCGCGUGUAUGAAGAAGGCCUUCGGGUUGUAAAGUACUUUCAGUCGGGAGGAAGGUGGUAAGGUUAAUAACCUUAUCAAUUGACGUUACCGACAGAAGAAGCAGCGGCUAACUCCGUGCCAGCAGCCGCGGUAAUACGGAGGGUGCAAGCGUUAAUCGGAAUUACUGGGCGUAAAGCGCACGCAGGCGGUUGAUUGAGUCAGAUGUGAAAUCCCCGGGCUUAACCCGGGAAUUGCAUCUGAUACUGGUCAGCUAGAGUCUUGUAGAGGGGGGUAGAAUUCCAUGUGUAGCGGUGAAAUGCGUAGAGAUGUGGAGGAAUACCGGUGGCGAAGGCGGCCCCCUGGACAAAGACUGACGCUCAGGUGCGAAAGCGUGGGGAGCAAACAGG
Molecule: ribosomal RNA, 429 nt
Filed under: Chloroflexota bacterium
Lineage: Bacteria; Bacillati; Chloroflexota
Description: Chloroflexi bacterium partial 16S ribosomal RNA
Rfam family: Bacterial small subunit ribosomal RNA
Source: RNAcentral